This 446-nucleotide ribosomal RNA is filed under the name uncultured bacterium. RNAcentral's name for it is "bacterial SSU rRNA". It matches the Rfam family "Bacterial small subunit ribosomal RNA", at positions 342 to 807 of the family's 1533-position model. The record is from RNAcentral.
CGGGAGGCAGCAGUUAGGAAUCUUCCACAAUGGGCGAAAGCCUGAUGGAGCGACGCCGCGUGAGGGAUGAAGGCCCUCGGGUUGUAAACCUCUAAAAGGGGGACGAUAAUGACGGUGCCCCUUGAAAAGCACCGGCUAACUCCGUGCCAGCAGCCGCGGUAAUACGGAGGGUGCAAGCGUUAUCCGGAAUCACUGGGCGUAAAGGGCGUGUAGGCGGCCUGUUAAGUCCGAUGUUAAAGACCGGGGCUCAACCCCGGCACGGCGUUGGAUACUGGCAGGCUAGACGGCUGGAGAGGAAAGUGGAAUUACCAGUGUAGCGGUGGAAUGCGUAGAUACUGGUAGGAACACCCAUUGCGAAGGCAGCUUUCUGGACAGCCCGUGACGCUGAGGCGCGAAAGUGUGGGGAGCAAACCGGAUUAGAUACCCGGGUAGUCCACACCCUAAAC